RNAcentral lists this long non-coding RNA (545 nucleotides) under Heterocephalus glaber (naked mole-rat). RNAcentral's name for it is "lncRNA (ENSHGLG00100043516.1)". Lineage: Eukaryota; Metazoa; Chordata; Mammalia; Rodentia; Bathyergidae. The record is from RNAcentral.
CUGAAAGUCUGUCCUCUUUAAACAAGGAAUACUAAGAAAAUAUUAUCACAGACCUUCAGGCUGAUCUUGAAACUAUACCUGGGGCUGGAAUCAUCAGCAAUUAUUCAUCAAUAAGGAAGAAGAGAUAGUGACAUUUGAAUUAAGACCAGAAGGAAGUGAGAAAAUGAAUAAUGCAAACAUUUGGGGAAAGAGCACUCUAGGCAGAGGAGGCAACUGCAAAGGCCACUGUUGUGGGUAUAAUUGUGUUCUCCUGAAAGAAGACACAGAAACAGAGACACAUGGGAGAAUGCCAUGUGAUGACAGAGGAGAGACUGAAAUGGUACAGCCACAAGCUCAGGAAUGCCAAGAAUUGAGAGCCACCACCAGAAGCUAGGAAGAGGUGAGAUGGACUGGCCUGGCUUCUUCUUUGGUUGGAUCUCCACUACUGAUCCAAACAACCAUGGCUGAGGACAGGGUCAUUUUGAAGGAAAACUUGCUUUUUUCCAAAGCUGCAGAUGGAGUUUAUUUUCUAAGAAGAGGAUAUGAAAAUGAGAAGGAUAUAAUGG